GAGUUUGAUCGUGGCUCAGAUUGAACGCUGGCGGCAUGCCUUACACAUGCAAGUCGAACGGCAGCACGGGAGCUUGCUCCUGGUGGCGAGUGGCGAACGGGUGAGUAAUGCAUCGGAACGUAUCCUGGAGUGGGGGAUAACGUAGCGAGAGUUACGCUAAUACCGCAUAUUCUGUGAGCAGGAAAGCGGGGGACCUUCGGGCCUCGCGCUCUUGGAGCGGCCGAUGUCGGAUUAGCUAGUUGGUGAGGUAAAGGCUCACCAAGGCGACGAUCCGUAGCAGGUCUGAGAGGAUGAUCUGCCACACUGGAACUGAGACACGGUCCAGACUCCUACGGGAGGCAGCAGUGGGGAAUUUUGGACAAUGGGGGCAACCCUGAUCCAGCCAUGCCGCGUGAGUGAAGAAGGCCU
RNAcentral lists this ribosomal RNA (408 nucleotides) under bacterium enrichment culture clone ALO1_GLFRUDD03HIB6E. Its description in RNAcentral is "bacterial SSU rRNA". It matches the Rfam family "Bacterial small subunit ribosomal RNA", at positions 9 to 417 of the family's 1533-position model. The record is from RNAcentral.